GUGGGGAAUAUUGGACAAUGGGCGAAAGCCUGAUCCAGCCAUGCCGCGUGUGUGAAGAAGGUCUUCGGAUUGUAAAGCACUUUAAGUUGGGAGGAAGGGCAGUAAGUUAAUACCUUGCUGUUUUGACGUUACCGACAGAAUAAGCACCGGCUAACUUCGUGCCAGCAGCCGCGGUAAUACGAAGGGUGCAAGCGUUAAUCGGAAUUACUGGGCGUAAAGCGCGCGUAGGUGGUUUUGUAAGUUGGAGGUGAAAUCCCCGGGCUCAACCUGGGAACUGCCUCCCAAACUGAAUGACUAGAGUACGGUAGAGGGUAGUGGAAUUUCCUGUGUAGCGGUGAAAUGCGUAGAUAUAGGAAGGAACACCAGUGGCGAAGGCGACUACCUGGACUGAUACUGACACUGAGGUGCGAAAGCGUGAGGAGCAAACAGGAUUAGAAACCCGUGUAGUCC
RNAcentral lists this ribosomal RNA (450 nucleotides) under uncultured bacterium. RNAcentral describes it as "partial 16S ribosomal RNA". It matches the Rfam family "Bacterial small subunit ribosomal RNA", at positions 354 to 796 of the family's 1533-position model. The record is from RNAcentral.